CCAGACUCCUACGGGAGGCAGCAGUGGGGAAUAUUGCACAAUGGGGGAAACCCUGAUGCAGCGACGCCGCGUGGAGGAAGAAGGUCUUCGGAUUGUAAACUCCUGUUGUUGGGGAAGAUAAUGACGGUACCCAACAAGGAAGUGACGGCUAACUACGUGC
RNAcentral lists this ribosomal RNA (160 nucleotides) under uncultured bacterium. RNAcentral's name for it is "partial 16S ribosomal RNA". It matches the Rfam family "Bacterial small subunit ribosomal RNA", at positions 331 to 508 of the family's 1533-position model. The record is from RNAcentral.